RNAcentral lists this ribosomal RNA (500 nucleotides) under uncultured bacterium. Its description in RNAcentral is "bacterial SSU rRNA". It matches the Rfam family "Bacterial small subunit ribosomal RNA", at positions 24 to 518 of the family's 1533-position model. The record is from RNAcentral.
UCAGGAUGAACGCUAGCGACAGGCUUAACACAUGCAAGUCGAGGGGCAGCAUAGAAGUAGCAAUACUUUGGUGGCGACCGGCGCACGGGUGAGUAACGCGUAUGCAACCUACCUAUCAGAGGGGAAUAACCCGGCGAAAGUCGGACUAAUACCGCAUAAAACAGGGGCACCGCAUGGUGAUAUUUGUUAAGAAAUUCGCUGAUAGAUGGGCAUGCGUUCCAUUAGGUAGUUGGUGAGGUAACGGCUCACCAAGCCGACGAUGGAUAGGGAACUGAGAGGUUGGUCCCCCACACUGGUACUGAGACACGGACCAGACUCCUACGGGAGGCAGCAGUGAGGAAUAUUGGUCAAUGGGCGGGAGCCUGAACCAGCCAAGUCGCGUGAAGGAAGAAGGAUCUAUGGUUCGUAAACUUCUUUUGCAGGGGAAUAAAGUGCAGGACGUGUCCUGUUUUGUAUGUACCCUGAGAAUAAGGAUCGGCUAACUCCGUGCCAGCAGCAGC